This 252-nucleotide ribosomal RNA is filed under the name uncultured bacterium. RNAcentral's name for it is "partial 16S ribosomal RNA". It matches the Rfam family "Bacterial small subunit ribosomal RNA", at positions 524 to 776 of the family's 1533-position model. The record is from RNAcentral.
UACGUAGGUCCCGAGCGUUGUCCGGAUUUAUUGGGCGUAAAGCGAGCGCAGGUGGUUUAUUAAGUCUGGUGUAAAAGGCAGUGGCUCAACCAUUGUAUGCAUUGGAAACUGGUAGACUUGAGUGCAGGAGAGGAGAGUGGAAUUCCAUGUGUAGCGGUGAAAUGCGUAGAUAUAUGGAGGAACACCGGUGGCGAAUGCGGCUCUCUGGCCUGUAACUGACACUGAGGCUCGAAAGCGUGGGGAGCAAACAGG